RNAcentral lists this non-coding RNA (30 nucleotides) under Homo sapiens (human). The record is from RNAcentral. Lineage: Eukaryota; Metazoa; Chordata; Mammalia; Primates; Hominidae.
UCCCAAAGUGCUGGUAUGACAGGUGUGAGC